CAGGAGGACACCCCUGCUCACUGCCGUAACACUUCAGUCUUCAGUUUGCAGCAAAACAAUGGAAGUCAAAGCUCUUGGCAUCAGACUCCUGAUGACCAUUAUGAUUCUGCUGGGUGUUCAAGGUCAGAGAGUUGAUGCAACAUUUAAUCCAGACUGUCUCAAAGAGCAGAGCCUUUUCUCUUCUGAGGACACACCUUGGAUCAUUGCCAUUGCUUUAUUGAGCGCUGUGGUGCUGACAUUUGGAGUGUACCUUGGCAACGAUUCGUGGGACAGAGAUGAUGACACGUUAUAUUCUAGAGCCAUUUACUACACCUUACACCUGGGUGAGACUGAACUCAAAGGUCUCAAAAAAAAGAGUGGAAUGAAGACAAAAUAACAUCUGAGAGGAAGUGAAGACAUUUAUCACAUAUUAUUAUUGUAAUUGAACAAGCUGUACAUCAUCUGCUGGGUUUGGUGUGAAUGUCAACAAACUGUUAUGUGUGUCUUCAGCUAAAAACAGCUGUCAGACACUCAUGGUUAUAAGAAGAGAUAAAGUUCACAUACUACCAAAUGUGUCUGUCUCUUAUGUAGAAGUUAAAAUUAAACCACUUGUUUCUUGGGUUCUUUUUGCUUGUGUGUGAAUGUUGCUUAUAAGAAAAGAGCAACUGCAGCUCAUUUCUUCUAGACAGCAGGUUGUCACCGUGGUCUACCACUAAUGUAAAUGUGUUGCAUUGCUUUGUUUUCCAAACCAGAUGAACCAAAUUUGUGGUAAGCAGUGAAAUACACCUGCAACGUUUACUGGGCAUGUCUCUAUGUGAAGUUUGGUCUAGUGCACAGACUAAAUAUCUGGUGGCUUGUUUUAUGUUGCAGCAGCUGUUCAGUAAAGUAACGAAAAUCAGCUGGGGGUGGGUUUUUUUGUUGUUGUUGUUUUUUAUUUAUUUGUCAGACUUUGUAAAAGCAGAAGUGAGAAGAGGAUAUGAUUUAGAUGCUGAGGUGGAGCUCAGCUUGUUUCUGCUUGACCUUAACUGUUUUAGUUUAUGAUAGGCCUCAAAAGGUCACUUUCUGAGCUACUACUACUAAGAAGGAUAAAAAUGAGCCUUUAUUUAAUCUUUCUUUCUUCUUUAAAAAAAAUCCACAAACCAGGGAAGUAAAUAGAAUUUUGUGACUUUAUAAGUCUUCUUAAAAGAUACAAAGCUUCAUCACGUUUCAUGGUGAACUUGCAAUAUGGAUUGUAACAAUGUAAUAAUUUAUCAAGCAUAUUUUAAAUAUUUAAGAAAAUUUAAAUAUGCAAAGUAUUACCAUUACUUUUUUAAAUCAAUUAUCUCUUGGAAUUUAGACAUUACACAAAUUAGUGUUGUUCAUGUUAAAAAAAACAUCCUUUCUAAUUCCACCAUGUAUGUGCCAAUAUGCUACAAAUUACGAUACUCUAUAUGCUGAAGCCCUCAGUGCCAGCCUGAGGCUGUACCUGAAUCAGAUGAGUUAAAGACUCAACUUUCUCUGCCAUUACGAGCUGCUGGCACUGACACUGAACUAAGUAAAACCUCCAUUGAAGAAAUAUUGAAAUCAACUCAAAGUCAAACUGUGUGUAACUUUAUUUCUGCCAGUGUUGUAAUGCUGGUUGAUUUACUGCAGGGGGAAGACUUAACACAUUCAAUAUUAUUGCAUAAUUUAAAAACAAUAUGUUUAAUAUAUUUUGAUCAGAAAAACACAUUUAAAUCUGCCCGUGUCCUUUAUACAUGAUAAAUAAUCUCUGCAGACACAGUGAGUGAGACCAUGCCUCAGAGCACAGCUGUCACCUCAUCUUACAGACUCUUUUCAUAGUUGUGAUUGUGGUUCUGCUGCUGUUCUUCACUGAUAGAAAGUCAAAGCUAGACCAACUAACUUGUGUUCACCUAUGUGUUAGUGUAAUUGCCAUGAAGCGGACAAUAGUCCAUGCAAUUGUGAAAAAUAGAGCAAUAAAACCAAUUAUUAUCCCAUCAUACUUCUUGUAGUUAAUGAAUAACUUAGUGAUUCAUUCACUGGUAAUAGUGACUGUCUCAAGAAAUGAACUGGUUGAUCUGUUGUUUCUACAAAUACCUUUUUUCACUUCUUCUUGUCACUUUGAACAUGCGUGAUAAACAUCAGCUCUGCUCUUACUGCCGAUCACACUGUGGUUUGUGAAAGUCAUAAUCUACCGAAACUCCUGCCUGACCUCAUCUCUCAACCUGACCUAAUUUACUCCCAGCUUAAAACCAUCUGUCAGUCCAGCCACACACCUCCCCUCUAACUUGCUGUUCUCAAAUGUGUGCAUGUAUGAGAUGUGCAACCCAACCACAGCAUUGUUAUUUCUACAUUCAUAGAUUAUGUGGUUAUUUUCUCUUUAUUGAGAUGUGUAUUUCUCCUAUCAUGUUUUGGGUUUAAGGUCUCUUUGCAUUUUAUAUAGUUGAAAUAAAUAUAUUUGAAACAAUAAAGAAAAACCUUAUUUGUGAUAAGAAAAAACCUGAAUGAAAUGACUGCUGGAUAAUGAAUCACAGGGAUCAGAGUUUUACAGUUGUUAACCUACGUUACUGCAAAGUAUCACAGGCUGGGUCUCUGACCCAGUGCUCUUGAGUACAUUUGGUAUUUGUCUCAUUUUUGAAUUGUGAUUAGUUCAUGUGUCAUUCCUAUUUAGCUUUUAGUUGAGGUUAAAGGCAGUCAUUAUUUAUUGUGUCCUUGGUUUCUGUGUUUGGGUUCUUGUAUCGUUCAUCACGUGUUAGGUCUGUUAAGAUCUGUUGUCAUGUCUAGUUUCAGUGUUUCCUGUUUUAUUUCGAAGGAGUCGUGUGUUCUUUGUUCAUUGUAUUUAGUUUCACUUCCCCUGGCCUGUCAUUAGGCUCAUGUCAGUCAGCUGGGAACACAUUAACAAAUUUCCCACAUGUGGGACUAAUAAAGGUUAUCUUAUUAGAGGAAAUGUGUUCCCAUUUCCUCUAAUCACCUCCUGUGUAUUUAAGUCCUCUGUUUCCAGGCCAUGUGUUUUGAAACUACUUGGUUAAUUUUUGAAAAAGAAAUUUUAAAAUAGGAGUCCUGAUCGUUGACAAAUUGAGUAUCACUAAAGACUAUAAAGUAUAUCUAAAGUGGAAUGUGUGUCUAUAUCUAAGCUUUACAACACUGUCAGGCUGAUUGUAACAUCACUGGUCUGGUUCAAAUCAUCUAGUUUGCCAAUCAGUCUUUACUUGGCACUUUUUUUUACUCCUCUUUACUCCUUUACACCUAAGACUUUCUCUUGCAGACACCUUUGUGUAACCCACCUCCUCCCCAUCACUGCCCCUCCUAUGUCACUCGGGCUCCACCACAACCACCAGGGGUUUCUUGCCUAAUCCCUAUCACCGAUAGGAAUCCAUUAUGCUGUGAUGGGCCAUUGGAGUCUAACCACCAAUCUGGAUUCUGUACAUGAAUCAAUCAUGUUCAGUUCCUUCUAAUGAUCCGUUUUUACUGAAAUAGUCACUAAUACAUUUGAAUGACAUAAUCACUUUAUCUUCAGCAGUGUUAACUCUCUUAUUUCUCUAAAGUGCUUUUACACAUUUGUUGAAUUGCUAACAUUUUUCAGACACUGAAGCAGUUCCUUGCUCCACCCACAGAUAGGAAACUGAAACACUGAAGCUUAAGCUGACACAAGAUCAACUUGGUUACUGUGGAAACUACUUUAGUAAAGUUAAAUGAUUACAUUAAUUAGCAUUGAGUUGUAAAAGAAAUAGUAGAAAGUAGUAGUGGUAGUGGUAGUAAAACUGCUUUAAGAGCAGGAAGACAAACAGGAAGACGCCCUGCUCUCAGUUUUCACACUUUAGUAU
Molecule: long non-coding RNA, 3782 nt
Organism: Oreochromis niloticus (Nile tilapia)
Lineage: Eukaryota; Metazoa; Chordata; Actinopteri; Cichliformes; Cichlidae
Source: Ensembl